GACGAACGCUGGCGGCGUGCUUAACACAUGCAAGUCGAACGGAAAGGCCCUGCUUUUGUGGGGUGCUCGAGUGGCGAACGGGUGAGUAACACGUGAGUAACCUGCCCUUGACUUUGGGAUAACUUCAGGAAACUGGGGCUAAUACCGGAUAGGAGCUCCUGCUGCAUGGUGGGGGUUGGAGAGUUUCGGCGGUUGGGGAUGGACUCGCGGCUUAUCAGCUUGUUGGUGGGGUAGUGGCUUACCAAGGCUUUGACGGGUAGCCGGCCUGAGAGGGUGACCGGCCACAUUGGGACUGAGAUACGGCCCAGACUCCUACGGGAGGCAGCAGUGGGGAAUAUUGCACAAUGGGCGGAAGCCUGAUGCAGCAACGCCGCGUGCGGGAUGACGGCCUUCGGGUUGUAAACCGCUUUCGCCUGUGACGAAGCGUGAGUGACGGUAAUGGGUAAAGAAGCACCGGCUAACUACGUGCCAGCAGCCGCGGUGAUAGGUAGGGUGCGAGCGUUGUCCGGAUUUAUUGGGCGUAAAGGGCUCGUAGGUGGUUGAUCGCGUCGGAAGUGUAAUCUUGGGGCUUAACCCUGAGCGUGCUUUCGAUACGGGUUGACUUGAGGAAGGUAGGGGAGAAUGGAAUUCCUGGUGGAGCGGUGGAAUGCGCAGAUAUCAGGAGGAACACCAGUGGCGAAGGCGGUUCUCUGGGCCUUUCCUGACGCUGAGGAGCGAAAGCGUGGGGAGCGAACAGGCUUAGAUACCCUGGUAGUCCACGCUGUAAACGGUGGGUACUAGGUGUGGGGUCCAUUCCACGGGUUCCGUGCCGUAGCUAACGCUUUAAGUACCCCGCCUGGGGAGUACGGCCGCAAGGCUAAAACUCAAAGGAAUUGACGGGGCCCCGCACAAGCGGCGGAGCAUGCGGAUUAAUUCGAUGCAACGCGUAGAACCUUACCUGGGUUUGACAUGGAUCGGGAGUGCUCAGAGAUGGGUGUGCCUCUUUUGGGGUCGGUUCACAGGUGGUGCAUGGCUGUCGUCAGCUCGUGUCGUGAGAUGUUGGGUUAAGUCCCGCAACGAGCGCAACCCUUGUUCACUGUUGCCAGCACGUUAUGGUGGGGACUCAGUGGAGACCGCCGGGGUCAACUCGGAGGAAGGUGGGGAUGACGUCAAGUCAUCAUGCCCCUUAUGUCCAGGGCUACACGCAUGCUACAAUGGCUGGUACAGAGAGUGGCGAGCCUGUGAGGGUGAGCGAAUCUCGGAAAGCCGGUCUCAGUUCGGAUUGGGGUCUGCAACUCGACCUCAUGAAGUCGGAGUCGCUAGUAAUCGCAGAUCAGCAACGCUGCGGUGAAUACGUUCCCGGGGCUUGUACACACCGCCCGUCAAGUCAUGAAAGUUGGUAACACCCGAAGCCGGUGGCCUAACCGUUGUGGGGGAGCCGUCGAAGGUGGGACUGGUGAUUAGGACUAAGUCGUAACAAGGUAGCCGUACCGGAAGG
RNAcentral lists this ribosomal RNA (1477 nucleotides) under uncultured bacterium. Its description in RNAcentral is "16S ribosomal RNA". It matches the Rfam family "Bacterial small subunit ribosomal RNA". The record is from RNAcentral.